GCUUUAAUACUUUGAGAGUUUACGAAGCUGUAAAGACUGAGUAUUUUCUCCGCAUGGACUAUCUACCAGUUGAGGGCCAGUGAGGAUCGGGUGGAACUGGGGAGGCUAGCUGCUGUCAUUCUGCAGUGUCACAGUGUGCGGUGUGUGUGGAUACAACUUCCCAUUGGUGGGUGUGUGUGAUGGUUGCUUUGGUGUGAAUUUAGGUGGGUUUUUGGAUAACCAUUCUGAGUUGCAGCCGGCCUGCCUGGUUCCCACUAAUCCUGGCCCUGGGAAUUACACCUCCCUUAUUGUGGAAAUGGUUUGUGUGAGAGAGUUUUAAAUCUAUGGGUGUGUUUUUAUAAUAAAAUCCAAUCUUUUGUAUUCUCGCCCCCGUCUCCCCUACUUUGCCUUCAUUUGGUGAAACUUACCUGUGUCCUUUAAUGGGAAUAAAUUCUCUGGUUUCCCACCAGGGUGGCGUAGUCGGAUAAAUUCACUGAUUAACCUUUCCUUUCAUGUGAUACCGCCACACAUGC
Molecule: long non-coding RNA, 512 nt
Organism: Cyprinus carpio (common carp)
Lineage: Eukaryota; Metazoa; Chordata; Actinopteri; Cypriniformes; Cyprinidae
Exons: 2
Source: RefSeq, a predicted model, not a curated record